UUUCCUGUGGCUCAGUUGGUAAAGCGUUGUGCCAACAACACAAAGGUUGUGAGUUCAAAUCCUAGGGAAA
RNAcentral lists this transfer RNA (70 nucleotides) under Danionella translucida. It matches the Rfam family "tRNA". From Rfam's summary of the family: Transfer RNA (tRNA) molecules are approximately 80 nucleotides in length. Their secondary structure includes four short double-helical elements and three loops (D, anti-codon, and T loops). Further hydrogen bonds mediate the characteristic L-shaped molecular structure. tRNAs have two regions of fundamental functional importance: the anti-codon, which is responsible for specific mRNA codon recognition, and the 3' end, to which the tRNAs corresponding amino acid is attached (by aminoacyl-tRNA synthetases). tRNAs cope with the degeneracy of the genetic code in two manners: having more than one tRNA (with a specific anti-codon) for a particular amino acid; and 'wobble' base-pairing, i.e. permitting non-standard base-pairing at the 3rd anti-codon position. Lineage: Eukaryota; Metazoa; Chordata; Actinopteri; Cypriniformes; Danionidae. The record is from Rfam by way of RNAcentral. RNAcentral also lists the same sequence under 1 other name.